RNAcentral lists this transfer RNA (77 nucleotides) under Desulfonispora thiosulfatigenes DSM 11270. Its description in RNAcentral is "tRNA_Arg". It matches the Rfam family "tRNA". From Rfam's summary of the family: Transfer RNA (tRNA) molecules are approximately 80 nucleotides in length. Their secondary structure includes four short double-helical elements and three loops (D, anti-codon, and T loops). Further hydrogen bonds mediate the characteristic L-shaped molecular structure. tRNAs have two regions of fundamental functional importance: the anti-codon, which is responsible for specific mRNA codon recognition, and the 3' end, to which the tRNAs corresponding amino acid is attached (by aminoacyl-tRNA synthetases). tRNAs cope with the degeneracy of the genetic code in two manners: having more than one tRNA (with a specific anti-codon) for a particular amino acid; and 'wobble' base-pairing, i.e. permitting non-standard base-pairing at the 3rd anti-codon position. Lineage: Bacteria; Bacillati; Bacillota; Clostridia; Eubacteriales; Peptococcaceae. The record is from RNAcentral. RNAcentral also lists the same sequence under 1 other name.
GCGCCCGUGGCUCAGCUGGAUAGAGUAGCAGACUACGAAUCUGAAGGUCGCAGGUUCGAAUCCUGCCGGGCGCGCCA